Molecule: long non-coding RNA, 1181 nt
Organism: Varroa destructor (honeybee mite)
Lineage: Eukaryota; Metazoa; Arthropoda; Arachnida; Mesostigmata; Varroidae
Source: RefSeq, a predicted model, not a curated record
AAUGCAGAGGCCCCCCGCGUGCCGCGGCAAGAGAGCCUCUUCAACACGGAGCGCCGCUGUGAGCCGCCGGCCUGCCCGGUUCGACGACGGUCUGCGUCGCUCGGGCCGGGCUCGCGUGUUUGUUAGUUCUCAUCAUCCUCUCUCCCCUCUCUUUUGUUUCUGCCUUCGCGCAGCGACAGAGGCUCUGUUUGUGUAUGUGUGGGUCUAUGAAUGUGUGCGAGUGCCUCGUUUUGUGUCUGUGUCUGUAUUGGUGUGUGUCUGUGUGUGUGAAUGUGUGCGUCAUCUCGGUCCCCAAGGGUGAAGGCACGCUGAAGGUAGAGGAGCGAAGUGUGAUGGGGACCAGGCUAAGCAGCUCGGCAUAUCUUCAGAAUCUACUUGCGUAUAUUUUACGAUAAACACUAGUGUACAACAUAUCCUCGACCCUGUGCUCAGGAAAUUACGCUACUGAUGGAGUUGCCUUUCGACAGAGUUAGGUCUACAGACCCGGAGAUUGAGAAAGAGAUCCCACCUGUUACGAGGGAAGAGGUAUUGCAGGUAAAAAAAACCAAAUCAAUACGGCUAAAAUGUCAGUUUCGGACAGGAUCCCAGCCGUAUUUGUAGGGAUUCUUCAAGAACUCUGACACGGUCCCUGUAACUGCCAUGCAGAUCUUCCAUUCAGGCCGUUUCCCACUACCAUGGAAGAAAGGUGUUUGUAUUGGUGGGAGGAAAAAUUUCAGACGAUGGUCUGACGAGGAGGCUAAUCAAAUUUCCGACGAAUUUUCUUUUAUGGAAUCCUGAGAAAUCAUCGUGAAAGAUGAUUCAGCGUAAAUCAUAUAUGAUACACCAUCCUCGGAUCCCGGAACGAACGGAUAGGCAAGUUGCGGAGCUGAACCUGAAAAACGUACUAGCCAGUACGCUGCUUUGUUGGCGAUUCAUCGUGGGUCGCAAAAAUAACAAUGUCUUAUUUCACUAAGUUGUCUUCAUUGUACGGUUUACUAUGCAUUAUACAGCGACUAAUAGGUGGAAUAUUUUUAACCACUGGUGUUCGGCGUCAUUCAGACAAAUCGUGUUGCGACCCUUCUGCAUUUAGUUCAAACCGAUAAACAAAAUAGAUACUUUUUCGUUCUGUUAGAAAUUACAGCGGAAAAUAUAUGAACUUGAGCGCUUACUUCUAUGCGUACGUGUAUCUUUGAAACUGUCGC